UGCAACGAAGCCUUGACUUCA
This 21-nucleotide non-coding RNA is filed under the name Caenorhabditis elegans. The record is from RNAcentral. Lineage: Eukaryota; Metazoa; Nematoda; Chromadorea; Rhabditida; Rhabditidae.